Molecule: ribosomal RNA, 180 nt
Filed under: Pseudomonas aeruginosa
Lineage: Bacteria; Pseudomonadati; Pseudomonadota; Gammaproteobacteria; Pseudomonadales; Pseudomonadaceae
Description: partial 16S ribosomal RNA
Rfam family: Bacterial small subunit ribosomal RNA (bases 41-180)
Source: RNAcentral
UGAGCCAAGUUUAGGGUUUUCUCAAAACCCAAGCAGUAUUGAACUGAAGAGUUUGAUCAUGGCUCAGAUUGAACGCUGGCGGCAGGCCUAACACAUGCAAGUCGAGCGGAUGAAGGGAGCUUGCUCCUGGAUUCAGCGGCGGACGGGUGAGUAAUGCCUAGGAAUCUGCCUGGUAGUGGG